This 642-nucleotide ribosomal RNA is filed under the name uncultured fungus. Its description in RNAcentral is "eukaryotic LSU rRNA". The stretch from base 175 to 328 matches the Rfam family "5.8S ribosomal RNA". The record is from RNAcentral. Lineage: Eukaryota; Fungi.
UCCGUAGGUGAACCUGCGGAAGGAUCAUUACCGUGGGGGCUUCGGCCCCCUCGAGAUAGAACCCUUGCCUUUUUCGAGUACCUUCGUUUUCCUCGGCAGGCUCGCCUGCCAAUGGGGACCCCAACAAACCCUUUGUAAUGCCUGCAAUCGUCUGACAAAACAAGCAAAAAUCAAAACUUUCAACAACGGAUCUCUUGGUUCUGGCAUCGAUGAAGAACGCAGCGAAAUGCGAUAAGUAAUGUGAAUUGCAGAAUUCAGUGAAUCAUCGAAUCUUUGAACGCAUCUUGCGCUCCUUGGUAUUCCGAGGAGCAUGCCUGUUUGAGUGUCAUUAAAUUCUCAACCUUACUAGCUUUUGCGAAGUAAGGCUUGGAUGUGGGGGUUACCUUUUGCUGGCUUCUAACGAGGUCGGCUCCCCUGAAAUGCAUUAGCGGUGCCCUUGUGGACCCCGACUAUCAGUGUGAUAAUUAUCUACGCUGUUAGGCGCCCACGCUUUAGUGCUGCUUCUAACCGUCCGGUUUCUGGACAACACAAAUGACAUUUUUGACCUCAAAUCAGGUAGGACUACCCGCUGAACUUAAGCAUAUCAAUAAGGCGGGGGGAGGGGAAGGGUCGGACUGGCCCAAGGGGCACACAGGGGGGAUA